Gasterosteus aculeatus aculeatus (three-spined stickleback) is the source of this 2284-nucleotide long non-coding RNA. Lineage: Eukaryota; Metazoa; Chordata; Actinopteri; Perciformes; Gasterosteidae. The record is from Ensembl.
AUAUGUGUAUAUAUGUGUGUGUAUAUAUAUAUAUAUAUAUAUAUAUAUACACUUGCACCUGCUCUCUCUCCACUCCACGUGACGUAAAUGGUGAGCGAGACUUUAGGUCAGCAGGGAUGGGUACAGAACAGAAGUCUAGUUCAGCUACUGGCGGCCCCUCAAGGACCAUCAGAUGGAGAUGUGGCCCAUAUGCCGUAUCCUUCUCCUCCCCACCACUUCCUCUCACUCUCUCUCCCUCUCUCUGUCAGCGUACCCACUAACACCACGUCCUCCCAUUUGAAGCUCUGGCCAGAAAAUGGGAUCCGGGGCUCGCUGUCUCCCUCCCUUUAUGCUUCUCCCUGUCUCCCUGCUAGCCUCGAAGGCCACAGCACACAGGACCCAGUGAUGGCCGCCCGGCUGCCUUCUCAACAAAAAAGGAAGUCAUUGUCCCCUGCUGCGGCCCAACAAUGGGUGACUUAAUAUGAGCAAAAUGGAGGGGGGGGGGGGGGGGGGCGCGGCUGUGCUUCCAGACUCCGGCCUCAUCCAUCAGCGUCGGUCAACCUCAACGUGGGGUUCUCCCGGUCCUCCUUUGAUGGUCGUCAAUGCCGGUCCUCACUGUAACGGACCCGGUGGUUCAUGGGUCGUUCUUGAGUUGGGGUCCAGAUCAAGUCUCAAGUCUUUGAGUUGGAGUCUUGAUCAAGUCUGAGUCCUGGCUGGAUUCUUCCCGGGUUCUUGUUCUGUUUCUCGGGUUUCCCCCUGAGUGCUUCAGGUUUCUCCUUCAGCCGGUUCGGGGGGAGUCCAAGUCUACCGGUGAGAUUCUCUCUCUCUGUUAAACUUGUAAAGCUGGUCCCAGUCGGCUCGAGCCCUCCGGCUGAGUAAACAGGAUCGGGCCGGUAGGAAACAAAGGUAUCAAUAAUGUUACCACCUCUUUGUUUCCCUAGUUAAAGAUCACAAUAAAUUUUCUCUGAUUAUUAAAUAUGGCCCCUCCUUAUGAUGGGACCUUCAGAAUAUGAGCAUUGCUAUUUUCUUUUCCUAAAGAGGGAGAAGGAGUAAAGGUAAUUUCCACUCUGAGGAGACAUGAUCCAGCUGAAUAGAAUAAAAAAUGUAUAACCAAAAAAUAUCCCCAGGAAACCUUCUCAGUUGUCGUGGACCAGUGAACAUAAUAAAAGGGCUUGAGUCUCACUGUGCCAUCUUCACCCCGGAUGCACAAAGUAAUGUAGAGAAUUAGUUCCCAAACGAGAAUCAGAAAACUCCCUGCAACUCACAAGGAGAAACUUUGAGGAGGAAGAGUAGGAUGGGGGUCGUCGUUUGAGAGCCUCAUCAUCCGCAUCCCCCACAAUCGCUGGCUAAUGACGAGCUUCCUGAAGAGUAACCUCUCUGCAGACACAAUGUUGUGGGAGGAGAAAAGACAUCAGAAGUCACUGCAGAAUCAUGCGUUUCCACCUUUUUCUAUUCUUGCCACAAUACAGCUGCUGCUGAUCAAAGAAAAGAAAAAGACAGCAGUUUUCUCGAGAUCCAAACGACAAAACCGUUGUGUUUCCAUUGAAUACACACGGCGACAUGCUCUCAUUGCAACCAGCGAAUGUUGAUGUAGGAAAACGGUUGACCUAAAUAGGGCUUUAAAAACCUCAUUCUGGCCAAGCAGGCCGGAUCAGCGCCCAGCUAAUCCUAGACGCCACAUCUGGGAGCUGAGAGGGCGCCGUAUCCCUCCCUCUGCCCUCUUGGGGUAAACAGCUGAGAUCUGAACUCAGCAUCGACUCGUGAGAUUAACACUGGGGCUUUCGGGUUUGAAUCCUUUGCUUCUUGCUUUUUACGGACGUCUGAUAAAAAAAGAUCUGCAGAGGGAGAGUCAAUUUUCGAAGGACGAGCUUUCAGAGCGCCAUUCAAACAUACGUUGUUUGAGCAUGUGCUGAUGUGGUCCAUUUGUAGCCCAUUUGUAACACAACACGUGACAAACAAAACCAAAACAGCAGCACAUUUCUGUAGUGCACCUUUUUAAAAAAGGUGCAUCAUAAGCAGCAACAAAACGUUUUCUCUGUCCUGAUAUCCAGCAGCUUGGUCCGGGACCACGAUGGACCCGGGUCUCCGAUUGAGACGUGGGCUCUACAGUCUCCGACCUGCAGCUCCUCUCAGCCAACUUAUUUUUCUUCAACAGAACGUCAGACAGCCAGGGGCAUGCUGGGUAGUGGUACCCUGGGUUAACUUAGCUUCCACCCGGGCUCUCCUGUCUGGGCCAGUUGGUGGUUCCAACUGGCAGGGCCGGCUCACUGGCCGUAGUCUGCUUUACCGAUCCCCACUAGUGGCG